This is a long non-coding RNA of Quercus lobata, 637 nucleotides long. RefSeq lists it as uncharacterized. NCBI's taxonomy places the organism in Eukaryota, Viridiplantae, Streptophyta, Magnoliopsida, Fagales, Fagaceae. The record is from RefSeq and is a predicted model, not a curated record. The transcript has 3 exons.
UCGUACUUCGUACUCUGAAAAUUAUGUAAAUAUUAAUUAAGAGCACGGAAAUCGUUUAUUACAAAACAUUUGUGCAAUCUGAAGUCAUUGAAUUCAGCCACUUGCUUUGGUUAAUCAGUGGAGUGCGAUCCUUCAUUCUUCACCAGGUUGUUACUCACGGCAUAUAUGGAAGAACCUGCUAAAGAAACAAAUCAUGAAAUUGGGAUGAUGCAAGAAGAAGAGAGAGAAAAUGAUGAUUGCAAUCCUAAACAACGGCCGAACACAUCUUUUCUAUCUGAGCUGAACCUCUUAAUGGUGUUAUUUUCAGCAUUUUCUUUACUUGAUGAUGAAAGAUUAAAUUACAUGGAGAGCAAAGGCAAAAAUGCAAAAGACCAAGAAGCUAAAGUUUGCAUAUCAAGAAUACACAGCAACAGACGCGAAGUAAAUGAAGUCAAGCUCAUGAAGCCAUCAGCACCUAGGAUUCACACAACCAUACGCGAUUCCAGGCAUGGCAGAAGAAUGUAACAGAAAAUGUCUACCAAGAAAGGAAUGCCGGUCACCAGGAGAAAAAAGAAUGCAAAGAUCUCACUCAUGAUCUCUAUUUGUAUUGUGUAUGACCAUUGGUAAAAGCAAACCGCAAAAUGUUAUAAAAUUUUUU